This is a non-coding RNA of Pelobates cultripes (western spadefoot toad), 291 nucleotides long. The record is from the annotation of a GenBank genome assembly. Lineage: Eukaryota; Metazoa; Chordata; Amphibia; Anura; Pelobatidae.
AAAAUAAAUGAGAAAAAGCCAGAAUCAGAGACUGUCCACUAUAAUACACUGAAAGUUGCAAUGGGUAAAAUAAAUGUUAGAAAGUAAAAUAACAAAAGUAGCAAAUGAUAAAUAACUUAUAAAUUAGCUGGAGGGGGAAAGUAAACAAACAAAGUUGUCAAUGGUCUAGUAGAUCGAAAAGGAAUUCUAGAGCGUAGAAAACCAAGAACAGACCAUCUCUGCAUUACUGUGCCUUCGAGGGCACCCCUUAAUAAACGCUAAUCCCCCCUCCCCUCACUUCAGAGAAAUAGA